Molecule: ribosomal RNA, 1520 nt
Filed under: Klebsiella pneumoniae
Lineage: Bacteria; Pseudomonadati; Pseudomonadota; Gammaproteobacteria; Enterobacterales; Enterobacteriaceae
Also listed under: 1 other name
Description: bacterial SSU rRNA
Rfam family: Bacterial small subunit ribosomal RNA
Source: RNAcentral
AGAGUUUGAUCAUGGCUCAGAUUGAACGCUGGCGGCAGGCCUAACACAUGCAAGUCGAGCGGUAGCACAGAGAGCUUGCUCUCGGGUGACGAGCGGCGGACGGGUGAGUAAUGUCUGGGAAACUGCCUGAUGGAGGGGGAUAACUACUGGAAACGGUAGCUAAUACCGCAUAACGUCGCAAGACCAAAGUGGGGGACCUUCGGGCCUCAUGCCAUCAGAUGUGCCCAGAUGGGAUUAGCUAGUAGGUGGGGUAAUGGCUCACCUAGGCGACGAUCCCUAGCUGGUCUGAGAGGAUGACCAGCCACACUGGAACUGAGACACGGUCCAGACUCCUACGGGAGGCAGCAGUGGGGAAUAUUGCACAAUGGGCGCAAGCCUGAUGCAGCCAUGCCGCGUGUGUGAAGAAGGCCUUCGGGUUGUAAAGCACUUUCAGCGGGGAGGAAGGCGGUGAGGUUAAUAACCUCAUCGAUUGACGUUACCCGCAGAAGAAGCACCGGCUAACUCCGUGCCAGCAGCCGCGGUAAUACGGAGGGUGCAAGCGUUAAUCGGAAUUACUGGGCGUAAAGCGCACGCAGGCGGUCUGUCAAGUCGGAUGUGAAAUCCCCGGGCUCAACCUGGGAACUGCAUUCGAAACUGGCAGGCUAGAGUCUUGUAGAGGGGGGUAGAAUUCCAGGUGUAGCGGUGAAAUGCGUAGAGAUCUGGAGGAAUACCGGUGGCGAAGGCGGCCCCCUGGACAAAGACUGACGCUCAGGUGCGAAAGCGUGGGGAGCAAACAGGAUUAGAUACCCUGGUAGUCCACGCCGUAAACGAUGUCGAUUUGGAGGUUGUGCCCUUGAGGCGUGGCUUCCGGAGCUAACGCGUUAAAUCGACCGCCUGGGGAGUACGGCCGCAAGGUUAAAACUCAAAUGAAUUGACGGGGGCCCGCACAAGCGGUGGAGCAUGUGGUUUAAUUCGAUGCAACGCGAAGAACCUUACCUGGUCUUGACAUCCACAGAACUUUCCAGAGAUGGAUUGGUGCCUUCGGGAACUGUGAGACAGGUGCUGCAUGGCUGUCGUCAGCUCGUGUUGUGAAAUGUUGGGUUAAGUCCCGCAACGAGCGCAACCCUUAUCCUUUGUUGCCAGCGGUUAGGCCGGGAACUCAAAGGAGACUGCCAGUGAUAAACUGGAGGAAGGUGGGGAUGACGUCAAGUCAUCAUGGCCCUUACGACCAGGGCUACACACGUGCUACAAUGGCAUAUACAAAGAGAAGCGACCUCGCGAGAGCAAGCGGACCUCAUAAAGUAUGUCGUAGUCCGGAUUGGAGUCUGCAACUCGACUCCAUGAAGUCGGAAUCGCUAGUAAUCGUAGAUCAGAAUGCUACGGUGAAUACGUUCCCGGGCCUUGUACACACCGCCCGUCACACCAUGGGAGUGGGUUGCAAAAGAAGUAGGUAGCUUAACCUUCGGGAGGGCGCUUACCACUUUGUGAUUCAUGACUGGGGUGAAGUCGUAACAAGGUAACCGUAGGGGAACCUGCGGUUG